GGGGAGGCGUAGGGAAACCGAGUCUUAAUAGGGCGUUUAGUUGCAGGCAAUAGACCCGAAACCGGGCGAUCUAUCCAUGGCCAGGCUGAAGGUUAGGUAACACUGACUGGAGGGCCGAACCCACUUAUGUUGAAAAAUGAGGGGAUGAGCUGUGGAUCGGAGUGAAAGGCUAAUCAAGCCUGGAGAUAGCUGGUUCUCCGCGAAAUCUAUUUAGGUAGAGCGUCUCAUGAAUACCAUCGGGGGUAGAGCACUGGAUGGGCUAGGGGGUCCCACCGACUUACCAAACCUAACCAAACUCCGAAUACCGAUGAGUACUAUGAGGCAGACACACUGCGGGUGCUAAGGUCCGUAGUGGAGAGGGAAACAGCCCUGACCGCCAGCUAAGGUCCCUAAGUUAUCACUAAGUGG
RNAcentral lists this ribosomal RNA (408 nucleotides) under Astrosyne radiata. RNAcentral's name for it is "partial Bacterial large subunit ribosomal RNA". It matches the Rfam family "Bacterial large subunit ribosomal RNA", at positions 660 to 1066 of the family's 2925-position model. Lineage: Eukaryota; Bacillariophyta; Fragilariophyceae; Cyclophorales; Cyclophoraceae. The record is from RNAcentral.